ACGUGAUCUGAGUUCAGACCGGAGCAAUCCAGGUCGGUUUCUAUCUAUAAAUAAGCUUAUUCCAGUACGAAAGGACAAAAUAGGCGUGGCCCAUGCUCAGAGUAAGCCACUGUUGACAAUUUUUGCUAACAACUUAACUUAUAGUCAACCAACAACCUCCCUCAAAAAAAGAGA
This 174-nucleotide ribosomal RNA is filed under the name Scinax tymbamirim. RNAcentral describes it as "partial 16S large subunit ribosomal RNA". The record is from RNAcentral. Lineage: Eukaryota; Metazoa; Chordata; Amphibia; Anura; Hylidae.